RNAcentral lists this long non-coding RNA (346 nucleotides) under Homo sapiens (human). Its description in RNAcentral is "PREDICTED lncRNA (TCONS_00091913)". The record is from RNAcentral. Lineage: Eukaryota; Metazoa; Chordata; Mammalia; Primates; Hominidae.
GCCAACUGAAAGCUAGAGAUGGUGAAAUAAAAUCUAUUGUGAGAAAAGGUCUGAAAUCAAAGAAGCGUAUAAUUAAGAAAAUAUUGUUUAUUUGGUUCCAAAGAAAGUUAUUUUGGAAACAGGUAAGGACUCUGUUUAUUACCCCUAUAGCCUUUCUGAUUAAAACACUGCAGAAAAUUAUCUACCCGAAUGACAACUGAAAACAAUGGAGAUCUCAAGACCGAAAGGAUCGGAAACAAUGGAUCAUGAUAAUGAUGUAAUUGAGAUGUUGUAAAAUAUUGGCUGGACACCGUGGCUCACGCCUGUAAUCCCAACACAUUGGGAGGCCGAGGCGGGCGGAUCACCU